Molecule: ribosomal RNA, 833 nt
Filed under: archaeon enrichment culture
Lineage: Archaea
Description: bacterial SSU rRNA
Rfam family: Archaeal small subunit ribosomal RNA
Source: RNAcentral
GCGGCUACUGCUAUCAGGUUUCGACUAAGCCAUGCGAGUCAAGGGGUCGUAAGACACCGGCGUACUGCUCAGUAACACGCGGACAAUCUACCCCCAGGUGGAGGAUAACCUCGGGAAACUGAGGCUAAUACCCCAUAGUUGUCAUGUGCUGGAAUGCUUUGACGAUGAAAGAAUUUCGCCUGAGGAUGAGUCUGCGGCCUAUCAGGUAGUAUGUGGUGUAAAGGACCGCAUAGCCUAAGACGGGUACGGGCCUUGAAAGAGGGAGCCCGGAGAUGGACUCUGAGACACUGGUCCAGGCCCUACGGGGCGCAGCAGGCGCGAAAACUGUGCAAUGCGCGCAAGCGCGACACGGGAAGCCUGAGUGCCUUAACUAUGUUAAGGCUUUUCUUGAUCCUAAAAAGCUCAAGGAAUAAGAGCUGGGUAAGACGGGUGCCAGCCGCCGCGGUAACACCCGCGGCUCGAGUGGUAGUCACUUUUAUUGAGCCUAAAGCGUUUGUAGCCGGAUUUGUAAAUCUCUAGGAAAAUACUUCUGCUUAACUGAAGAAAUUUUGGAGAGACUGCAAAUCUAGGGACCGGGUGAGGCUGAAUGUACUUCUGGGGUAGGGGUAAAAUCCUGUAAUCCUGGAAGGACGACCGGUGGCGAAGGCGUUCAACUAGAACGGAUCCGACGGUGAGGAACGAAGGCUAGGGGAGCAAACCGGAUUAGAUACCCGGGUAGUCCUAGCUGUAAACACUGCCCACUUGGUGUUGCAUCUCCGGUAAGGGGGUGCAGUGCCGUAGCGAAGGUGUUAAGUGGGCCGCUUGGGGAGUAUGGUCGCAAGGCUGAAACUUAA